GAAACAAAGAAUGGUAUAAAGAGUCACACAGCGCAGCAUCACUUACUCUGGCUUUUGAAACAGGAAGAAGUAUUUCCCAAGUGCUUGGACGGAUGGGCCAAAGAAAUAGUAAGGGUACAGCUCACGCACAGGUAUGAUAAGGCCCUGACGCAGUACUCUGAAUGGAGAUGACAGCUGAUCAAGUAACCUCAUUUCAAAGGACCGUUGGAGAUGCAUGUGUUUCAGAGAUUCAGAGGACCAGCAUCCCUGUUUCUCCAAUUCACUGUCAAGUUCUUCAUGAGCAACUCAUGCUAAAAGUUUGAAGUCUGUGAUGAAAGCUGACAUGGUCACCAACCUCUCCUCUUCCAACGUGGGCUCAGUUACACACUGUCAACCUGCAUGACCUCCGCUCUGGACAUGAGUUUGCUUCGGCGGUUCCAUUCACCAUGCAGCUAUGAGAAGGCCCAAGUGCACACACCGCUCAGAGAGCACCUGGAGCCUCUCAAAGGCAGCAUCUGUGGGCCACGGUCAAACCUGGGGGCAUUGGUAGGGGUUCGUCCUUCUCCCAUCCUGUGGGGUUUAUGUGUAUAUGGUAGGAAAAGAAAUCCAUCACCUUCACUCUUCUCAGAAAAACAGAUGAAAGAAGAAGCACUUUCCUGUUCUGGAUGUUCCACAUUCGGAUCCAUCCAAACCACAGUGGACACAUCUCCUAGAACAACAUUAUCCCCAUCCCAGCAGAGUUAA
This 723-nucleotide long non-coding RNA is filed under the name Capra hircus (goat). RNAcentral's name for it is "lncRNA (ENSCHIG00010007502.1)". Lineage: Eukaryota; Metazoa; Chordata; Mammalia; Artiodactyla; Bovidae. The record is from RNAcentral.